GCAAAGAGGUCACACCCGUUCCCAUACCGAACACGGAAGUUAAGCUCUUUAGCGCCGAUGGUAGUUGGGGGUUUCCCCCUGUGAGAGUAGGACGUCGCUAGGC
Molecule: ribosomal RNA, 103 nt
Filed under: Paenisporosarcina quisquiliarum
Lineage: Bacteria; Bacillati; Bacillota; Bacilli; Caryophanales; Caryophanaceae
Source: RNAcentral